CAGAAACUUAAAUGAAUUGACGGGGGCCCGCACAAGCGGUGGAGUAUGUGGUUUAAUUCGAUGCAACGCGAAGAACCUUACCUGGUCUUGACAUCCCGGAGACCCUUAGGAAACUAGGGGGUGCUUCCAUCUGGAAGAAUCUGGAGACAGGUGCUGCAUGGCUGUCGUCAGCUCGUGUCGUGAGAUGUUGGGUUAAGUCCCGCAACGAGCGCAACCCUUGCCUUUAGUUGCCAGCAGUUCGGCUGGGCACUCUAAAGGGACUGCCGGUGUUAAACCGGAGGAAGGUGGGGAUGACGUCAAGUCCUCAUGGCCUUUAUGACCAGGGCUACACACGUGCUACAAUGGUCGGUACAAAGGGUUGCCAAGCCGCGAGGUGGAGCUAAUCCCAUAAAACCGAUCGUAGUCCGGAUCGCAGUCUGCAACUCGACUGCGUGAAGUCGGAAUCGCUAGUAAUCGUGAAUCAGAAUGUCACGGUGAAUACGUUCCCGGGCCUU
RNAcentral lists this ribosomal RNA (494 nucleotides) under uncultured Desulfobulbus sp. Its description in RNAcentral is "bacterial SSU rRNA". It matches the Rfam family "Bacterial small subunit ribosomal RNA", at positions 894 to 1382 of the family's 1533-position model. The record is from RNAcentral. Lineage: Bacteria; Pseudomonadati; Thermodesulfobacteriota; Desulfobulbia; Desulfobulbales; Desulfobulbaceae.